GAUGAACGCUGGCGGCGUGCCUAAUACAUGCAAGUCGAGCGAACAGAUAAGGAGCUUGCUCCUUUGACGUUAGCGGCGGACGGGUGAGUAACACGUGGGUAACCUACCUAUAAGACUGGAAUAACUCCGGGAAACCGGGGCUAAUGCCGGAUAACAUGUUGAACCGCAUGGUUCUACAGAGAAAGGCGGCUUUGCUGUCACUUAUAGAUGGACCCGCGCCGUAUUAGCUAGUUGGUGAGGUAACGGCUCACCAAGGCAACGAUACGUAGCCGACCUGAGAGGGUGAUCGGCCACACUGGAACUGAGACACGGUCCAGACUCCUACGGGAGGCAGCAGUAGGGAAUCUUCCGCAAUGGGCGAAAGCCUGACGGAGCAACGCCGCGUGAGUGAUGAAGGUCUUCGGAUCGUAAAACUCUGUUAUUAGGGAAGAACAAAUGCGUAAGUAACUGUGCGCGUCUUGACGGUACCUAAUCAGAAAGCCACGGCUAACUACGUG
RNAcentral lists this ribosomal RNA (497 nucleotides) under uncultured bacterium. RNAcentral's name for it is "partial 16S ribosomal RNA". It matches the Rfam family "Bacterial small subunit ribosomal RNA", at positions 28 to 507 of the family's 1533-position model. The record is from RNAcentral.